RNAcentral lists this ribosomal RNA (544 nucleotides) under Diaphorina citri (Asian citrus psyllid). RNAcentral describes it as "SSU rRNA". It matches the Rfam family "Eukaryotic small subunit ribosomal RNA", at positions 63 to 535 of the family's 1831-position model. The record is from RNAcentral. Lineage: Eukaryota; Metazoa; Arthropoda; Insecta; Hemiptera; Psyllidae.
GUGCAGCCGUACGCGCUCGCGCGUCUAGGUGAAACCGCGAAAGGCUCAUUAAAUCAGUUAUGGUUCCUUGGAUCGUACCGCUCAGUUACUUGGAUAACUGUGGUAAUUCUAGAGCUAAUACAUGCCGACAGAGUUCCGACCGUCUUCGCGGGCGGGAGGAACGCUUUUAUUAGAUCAAAACCCAUCGGGCUCGGUCGCUUGCGGCCGGUCCGACAACACUCGGUCCGCUUCGCGCGGGCCGACCAAGUGGUGACUCUGAAUAACUUUGUGCUGAUCGCACGGUCUCCGUACUGGCGAUGCAUCUUUCAAAUGUCUGCCUUAUCAACUGUCGAUGGUAGGUUAUGCGCCUACCAUGGUGGUAACGGGUGACGGGGGAUUAGGGUUCGAUCCCGGAGAGGGAGCCUGAGAAACGGCUACCACAUCCAAGGAAGGCAGCAGGCACGCAAAUUACCCACUCCCAGCUCAGGGGAGGUAGUGACGAAAUAUAACGAUACGGGACUCAUCCGAGGCCUCGUAAUCGGAAUGAGUACACUCUAAAACGUUU